UUUUUUCUUCAUAGGGUUUUGGGAAGACUGAGGCAAUCGUUGCUGAAGUCAGUGUUGUAAUGGUGAAUCAGGAUUUUUAAUGAAGUGGGUUUGAUUACUCUUGACUGUUUUGUGAAAUCGAGUUACGUCUGAGAUUGAAGAAUUAAAAGGGUGUCUAUAGGAUUGAGUAUGCGGAGUGAAUGAAAUUUAUUAGGUUAAUCUAACAAGACAGUCAGUGGAUACAAGAUUGUAAGUACAAAGCGGUAUCGAAGAUUAAUAGUUUGGGUUGUUCGGGGUUCUCUGUAACGAUUAGAGA
Molecule: long non-coding RNA, 295 nt
Filed under: Physcomitrium patens
Lineage: Eukaryota; Viridiplantae; Streptophyta; Bryopsida; Funariales; Funariaceae
Description: long non-coding RNA (PPAT_LNC007162)
Source: RNAcentral